This 469-nucleotide ribosomal RNA is filed under the name uncultured bacterium. RNAcentral describes it as "partial 16S ribosomal RNA". It matches the Rfam family "Bacterial small subunit ribosomal RNA", at positions 30 to 507 of the family's 1533-position model. The record is from RNAcentral.
UGCGAACGCUGGCGGCGUGCUUAACACAUGCAAGUCGAACGGAAAGGCCCUGCUUGCAGGGUGCUCGAGUGGCGAACGGGUGAGUAACACGUGGGUGAUCUGCCCCUUACUUUGGGAUAAGCCUGGGAAACUGGGUCUAAUACUGGAUAGGACCAUGCUGUAGGUGGUGUGGUGGAAAGAUUAGUUUCGGUAAGGGAUGAGCUCGCGGCCUAUCAGCUUGUUGGUGGGGUAAUGGCCUACCAAGGCGUCGCCGGGUAGCCGGCCUGAGAGGGUGGACGGCCACAUUGGGACUGAGAUACGGCCCAGACUCCUACGGGAGGCAGCAGUGGGGAAUAUUGCACAAUGGGCGCAAGCCUGAUGCAGCGACGCCGCGUGGGGGAUGACGGCCUUCGGGUUGUAAACUCCUUUCAGCCAUGACGAAGCCCUUGUGGUGACGGUAGUGGUAGAAGAAGCACCGGCUAACUACGUG